GGGAAGGUAGCUCAGCCCGGGAGAGCACUCGACUGAAGAUCGAGCUGUCGGGGGUUCAAAUCCCUCCCUUCCCA
RNAcentral lists this transfer RNA (74 nucleotides) under Candidatus Aenigmatarchaeota archaeon. RNAcentral describes it as "tRNA-Phe". It matches the Rfam family "tRNA". Rfam says of the family: Transfer RNA (tRNA) molecules are approximately 80 nucleotides in length. Their secondary structure includes four short double-helical elements and three loops (D, anti-codon, and T loops). The record is from RNAcentral. Lineage: Archaea; Nanobdellati; Candidatus Aenigmatarchaeota.